UUGCUUUAGCUGUACAUAUUCUGAAAUUGAAACAGUACAAAGAUGAGCGUGAUCCCUGUACAAAGCUAUCACUCAAAUUCAUGAAACAUUCCAUAUUUUA
Small nuclear RNA from Cavia aperea (Brazilian guinea pig), 100 nucleotides. The record is from Ensembl. Lineage: Eukaryota; Metazoa; Chordata; Mammalia; Rodentia; Caviidae.